Molecule: unclassified non-coding RNA, 813 nt
Filed under: uncultured fungus
Lineage: Eukaryota; Fungi
Description: sequence contains 18S rRNA gene, ITS1, 5.8S rRNA gene, ITS2, 28S rRNA gene
Source: RNAcentral
GGGAGAUGGUCCACAAUCAGGCGUCCGAUGGCCGCUGGCAAUGGCGCCCGGGAGCAGACGGACUGACAUUCUGCUCGCCGUCGAACAUAUCUGCCGGGCUUCAUUCCAUCGUGCCACCAUUCUUCGACGCGUCCAGAACGAGCCUAUGGCGUCAACCACCGUUUGCGUUGCUGCUCAUCGGGUUGAUCGCCGUUCUCGCGACGCUGGUGUGGGUCGUGCGGUUCAUCACAACCAAGAUCUUCCUCGCUGAUGUCAUCGAGCCUCUCUCUUCGGAACGGAGUGAGGAUCUUCGCGAGAUCUGGGCCCCGAACCUCUUCCUCGUGGGCGAAGCGCCACUGGCUUCGGAAAUUCCCGAACUGGCCUUCUGCAAAAUCGAUCUCAGCAACGCUCCGCGGGAUGCGGCGGCGCGCAACCAGUGGUUCGGCGCUCAGCUCACACGCGUCGAACAGUCUGCCGUGCGGCAGAACGUGCUCAUGCUGCACUACGAACGCAAGGACGAUGAGGCGUUCGCCGAGCAGAAGCUCGCUCUACUCGAACGUAUCAUCAACACCUUGAAUCGGACCCUCGUCGUGGUCUCAGCCGUGCCCCCCUCCGUGGCGCGUGCCACGGCAGCAGCCGAUCGACAGGACACUGUGCAGGCGGACUUGACGCAUCGGUGGGACGCCGUGAUGUCGCGAUUCACGGUCGUUCCGGUCAUACCGGUCGCGCCGCCGCCCGCCAUGUCAUCGCCGGCGUCGGUGUUCGGCGGGUGGAGCGGCGCCGGGUGGCGGGAAGUCGUGUGGCGCAUCAGCGCGCUCGGUUUCUCGCACAGCG